UAUGAAGAAUGGAGACAGUAUUGGCUUUGCUUUGCACCAAAUUGAAUUCAGAAGCACUAAAGAUCAAUGAGAAACCGAUCCUAUAAGCCUAAUUUCACUUCCUUCUAUUGUAUACAUAGUAAAGGUUUCCAUUUGAACAUA
Hibiscus syriacus is the source of this 141-nucleotide long non-coding RNA. RefSeq lists it as uncharacterized. NCBI's taxonomy places the organism in Eukaryota, Viridiplantae, Streptophyta, Magnoliopsida, Malvales, Malvaceae. The record is from RefSeq and is a predicted model, not a curated record. The transcript has 3 exons.